GUGCCAGCCGCCGCGGUAAUACAGAGGUCCCAAGCGUUGUUCGGAUUCACUGGGCGUAAAGGGUGCGUAGGUGGUGAGGAAAGUCUGAUGUGAAAGCUCGGAGCUUAACUCCGAAAUGGCAUUGGAAACUACCUUGCUGGAGGGUUGGAGGGGGGACUGGAAUACUUGGUGUAGCAGUGAAAUGCGUAGAUAUCAAGUGGAACACCAGUGGCGAAGGCGAGUCCCUGGACAACACCUGACACUGAGGCACGAAAGCUAGGGGAGCAAACGGGAUUAGAUACCCCAGUAGUCC
This 292-nucleotide ribosomal RNA is filed under the name uncultured bacterium. Its description in RNAcentral is "partial 16S ribosomal RNA". It matches the Rfam family "Bacterial small subunit ribosomal RNA", at positions 505 to 796 of the family's 1533-position model. The record is from RNAcentral.